CUAGAGUUUGAUCCUGGCUCAGGAUGAACGCUGGCGGCGUGCCUAAUACAUGCAAGUCGAGCGAACAGACGAGGAGCUUGCUCCUCUGACGUUAGCGGCGGACGGGUGAGUAACACGUGGGUAACCUACCUAUAAGACUGGGAUAACUCCGGGAAACCGGGGCUAAUACCGGAUAAYACAUGAAACCGCAUGGUUUCAUGAUGAAAGACGGUUUUGCUGUCACUUAUAGAUGGACCCGCGGCGUAUUAGCUAGUUGGUAAGGUAACGGCUUACCAAGGCAACGAUACGUAGCCGACCUGAGAGGGUGAUCGGCCACACUGGAACUGAGACACGGUCCAGACUCCUACGGGAGGCAGCAGUAGGGAAUCUUCCGCAAUGGGCGAAAGCCUGACGGAGCAACGCCGCGUGAGUGAUGAAGGUCUUCGGAUCGUAAAACUCUGUUAUUAGGGAAGAACAAGGAUGUAAGUAACURUGCAYCCCUUGACGGUACCUAAUCAGAAAGCCACGGCUAACUACGUGCCAGCAGCCGCGGUAAUACGUAGGUGGCAAGCGUUAUCCGGAAUUAUUGGGCGUAAAGCGCGCGUAGGCGGUUUUUUAAGUCUGAUGUGAAAGCCCACGGCUCAACCGUGGAGGGUCAUUGGAAACUGGAAAACUUGAGUGCAGAAGAGGAAAGUGGAAUUCCAUGUGUAGCGGUGAAAUGCGCAGAGAUAUGGAGGAACACCAGUGGCGAAGGCGACUUUCUGGUCUGCAACUGACGCUGAUGUGCGAAAGCGUGGGGAUCAAACAGGAUUAGAUACCCUGGUAGUCCACGCCGUAAMCGAUGAGUGCUAAGUGUUAGGGGGUUUCCGCCCCUUAGUGCUGCAGCUAACGCA
RNAcentral lists this ribosomal RNA (872 nucleotides) under Staphylococcus simulans. RNAcentral's name for it is "bacterial SSU rRNA". Lineage: Bacteria; Bacillati; Bacillota; Bacilli; Caryophanales; Staphylococcaceae. The record is from RNAcentral.